GAUGAACGCUAGCGGGAGGCCUAACACAUGCAAGCCGAGCGGUAUUGUUUCUUCGGAAAUGAGAGAGCGGCGUACGGGUGCGGAACACGUGUGUAACCUGCCUUUAUCUGGGGGAUAGCCUUUUCGAAAGGAAGAUUAAUACUCCAUAAUAUAUUGAACGGCAUCGUUUAAUAUUGAAAGCUCCGGCGGAUAGAGAUGGGCACGCGCAAGAUUAGCUAGUUGGUGAGGUAACGGCUCACCAAGGCGAUGAUCUUUAGGGGGCCUGAGAGGGUGAUCCCCCACACUGGUACUGAGACACGGACCAGACUCCUACGGGAGGCAGCAGUGAGGAAUAUUGGUCAAUGGGUGCAAGCCUGAACCAGCCAUCCCGCGUGAAGGACGACUGCCCUAUGGGUUGUAAACUUCUUUUGAUAGGGAUAAACCUACCCUCGUGAGGGUAGCUGAAGGUACUAUACGAAUAAGCACCGGCUAACUCCGUGCCAGCAGCCGCGGUAAU
Molecule: ribosomal RNA, 496 nt
Filed under: uncultured bacterium
Lineage: Bacteria
Description: bacterial SSU rRNA
Rfam family: Bacterial small subunit ribosomal RNA
Source: RNAcentral